Long non-coding RNA from Bos taurus (domestic cattle), 657 nucleotides. Lineage: Eukaryota; Metazoa; Chordata; Mammalia; Artiodactyla; Bovidae. The record is from Ensembl.
AUAUGAUACCUCAAUUCUGUUUUGUAUCUAUCCUGUUACCAUGAGAGACCUCACCAUGGAAACAAAGUCUGACCUCCAGGACACAGAAGAUGUCAAAACAAGUGGACCAAAGACGGUUUAGGACAGAGACUCGAUGAAACCUGGUAAAGGAUCUGCCUGGAAUGUGGGAGACCUGAGUUUGAUCCCCGGGCUGGGAAGAUCCCCUGAAGAAAGGAAAGUCUACGCACUCAAGUAUUCUGGCCUGGAGAAUUCCAUGGACUGUAUAGUCCAUGGGGUCACAAAGAGUCAGAUACGACUGAGUGACUUUGAUUAGAUGAAACCAUGCUUGAAUUCCAUGUUAAAAAUGGCUAACUGGUACGAAGUUGGGAAAAUGUAUUAGACAGCAUGAGAAAUAAGGUGGAGGUAUGAAGAGAAAGAAGAGUCCAGUGGAGUUUAUGGUCUAUCUCUUCCAAAUGAAGAAGAGAUCAGGGGUUCUCGUCAGGCCUUGAAAAGAUACUUACAUUCUAGGAAUUAACCAUAAGGUCCCCCAGGAGACUCCAGGAGAUGCUGGGAUGUAUCAAGAACCACUAGUCUCACCCUUGAAACCACCUUUAUCUGUGAUGAUACCACAGAUGACAAGGGAAAUCCUGCUAGGAAUCUACUUCAUAUCUUUACCAG